UCAGGCUUCAGGUGGUCUUAGAGCACAUGCCCGUGGGUCCCGACGCCAUCCUCAGAUAUGUGCGCAGGAUUGGUGAUCCUCCUCAGGCACUUCCUGAAGAGCCAAUGGAAGUUCAGGGAGCAGAAAGAACUUCCCCUGAGCCUCAGAGAGAGGAUGCUUCCCCAGCCCCCGGAACAACAGCAGAAGAAGCCAUGUCCCGAGGUCCACCCCCUGCUCCUGAAGGAGGUUCCCGAGACGAACAGGAUGGAGCUUCAGCCGAUGCAGAGCCCUGGGCAGCUGCAGUCCCCCCUGUAAGUGGCAGGAUGGUAUCCAGUGGGUUCAAGAGCUGUAAGUUGUGGGAAUUAUGUCAAAUCCUCUCCUCCCCAGGAAUGGGUACCUAUUAUCCAGCAGGACAUUCAGAGCCAGCGGAAGGUGAAACCUCAGCCGCCCCUGAGUGAUGCCUACCUCAGUGGCAUGCCUGCCAAGAGACGAAAGGUUGGUCUCUGCUGAGGAUGUGUCUCUGUCAAGCACCCUUGUUGAGCUAGAAGCUUUUGCUUGUAGUUCAGUCUCUUCAUCUAGUUAGAAAGCCUGUUUGUGAGUCAGGCUUGUUCAGGAUUGGUACAUUGGUACAUGGUACAUACUGUUUUCUGGCAGUUCUGGUUCCUCAGCUGUGUCAUCUCCCAGGUGAUUAGGUGUGUAAGGUGGACUUUGUCUUGGAGAGUAGCUAGCUCUGAAUCCCAGGUGCUUUGACCUGCUGGUGCCUUCUUUGCUGUCAGAACCAUGUGCAGGCUGU
RNAcentral lists this long non-coding RNA (772 nucleotides) under Rattus norvegicus (Norway rat). RNAcentral's name for it is "long non-coding RNA NONRATT017130". Lineage: Eukaryota; Metazoa; Chordata; Mammalia; Rodentia; Muridae. The record is from RNAcentral.